AGAGUUUGAUCCUGGCUCAGAUUGAACGCUGGCGGCAUGCCUUACACAUGCAAGUCGAACGGUAACGCGGGGCAACCUGGCGACGAGUGGCGAACGGGUGAGUAAUGCAUCGGAACGUGCCCAGUAGUGGGGGAUAGCCCGGCGAAAGCCGGAUUAAUACCGCAUACGACCUACGGGUGAAAGGGGGGGAUCGCAAGACCUCUCGCUAUUGGAGCGGCCGAUGUCAGAUUAGGUAGUUGGUGGGGUAAAGGCUCACCAAGCCGACGAUCUGUAGCUGGUCUGAGAGGACGACCAGCCACACUGGGACUGAGACACGGCCCAGACUCCUACGGGAGGCAGCAGUGGGGAAUUUUGGACAAUGGGCGCAAGCCUGAUCCAGCCAUGCCGCGUGAGUGAUGAAGGUCUUAGGAUUGUAAAGCUCUUUCACCGAUGAAGAUAAUGACGGUAGUCGGAGAAGAAGCCCCGGCUAACUUCGUGCCAGCAGCCGCGGUAAUACGAAGGGGGCUAGCGUUGUUCGGAAUUACUGGGCGUAAAGCGCACGUAGGCGGAUAUUUAAGUCAGGGGUGAAAUCCCGCAGCUCAACUGCGGAACUGCCUUUGAUACUGGGUAUCUCGAGUAUGGAAGAAGUGAGUGGAAUUNCNAGUGUAGAGGUGAAAUUCGUAGAUAUUCGGAGGAACACCANUGGCGAANGCGGNUUACUUGGUCCAUUACUUGACCCUGAGGUGCCAAAGCGUGGGGAGCAAACAGGAUUAAAUACCCUGUAGUCCACCCGUAA
Molecule: ribosomal RNA, 775 nt
Filed under: uncultured bacterium
Lineage: Bacteria
Description: bacterial SSU rRNA
Rfam family: Bacterial small subunit ribosomal RNA
Source: RNAcentral